Molecule: ribosomal RNA, 776 nt
Filed under: uncultured Bacteroidota bacterium
Lineage: Bacteria; Pseudomonadati; Bacteroidota
Description: bacterial SSU rRNA
Rfam family: Bacterial small subunit ribosomal RNA
Source: RNAcentral
AGGGUGCGCAGGCGGACAUUCAAGUCUGCGGUCAAAUUCCGGGGCUCAACCCCGGCCAGCCGUGGAAACUGAAUGACUUGAGUGGGCGAGAGGUAUGCGGAAUGCGCGGUGUAGCGGUGAAAUGCUUAGAGAUCGCGCAGAACUCCGAUUGCGAAGGCAGCAUACCGGCGCCUUACUGACGCUCAGGCACGAAAGCGUGGGGAUCGAACAGGAUUAGAUACCCUGGUAGUCCACGCAGUAAACGAUGAAUGCUGGUUGUUCGGGCCGACUGAGGCCUGAGUAACGUAGUGAAAACGUUAAGCAUUCCACCUGGGGAGUACGCCGGCAACGGUGAAACUCAAAGGAAUUGACGGGGGCCCGCACAAGCGGAGGAACAUGUGGUUUAAUUCGAUGAUACGCGAGGAACCUUACCCGGGCUCAAACGGGAGCGGACGUGCGGAGAAAUCCGCAUUUCUUCGGACCGCUUCCGAGGUGCUGCAUGGUUGUCGUCAGCUCGUGCCGUGAGGUGUCGGCUUAAGUGCCAUAACGAGCGCAACCCCUGCGGACAGUUGCCAUCAGGUAGAGCUGGGCACUCUGUCCGGACUGCCGGCGCAAGCCGUGAGGAAGGCGGGGAUGACGUCAAAUCAGCACGGCCCUUACGUCCGGGGCGACACACGUGUUACAAUGGGCGGCACAGCGGGAAGCCAGGUGGUGACACCGAGCAGAACCCGAAAGCCGUUCUCAGUUCGGAUCGGAGUCUGCAACCCGACUCCGUGAAGCUGGAUUCGCUAGUAAUC